GUUGGUAAUAGUUGGUCUACUAUAGGGAUAGGGUGUGCAUCAAGAUAGGAUCCAUCGAUCUUGAUAGAGAGAAAUAGUUCUACAAAAUUUAAGAGGCUAAGUCUAAGAGUCUGUGGCCACAGCAGUGUGAUUGAUAGAAAAUAGUUUUCAUAGAAGUCACAACUGAACUUGAGCUAAUCGAAUCUAUCAUAUGAUUGAUGCUGAGUUUUGACGAUUUAUCCAUGACCUACCAUGA
RNAcentral lists this long non-coding RNA (235 nucleotides) under Elaeis guineensis (African oil palm). RNAcentral describes it as "long non-coding RNA (EGUI_LNC047341)". The record is from RNAcentral. Lineage: Eukaryota; Viridiplantae; Streptophyta; Magnoliopsida; Arecales; Arecaceae.